CCCCAGCGCCACAAGUGGCAGCCACAAUUAUUGGGCCUAAAGCGUCCGUAGCCGGUUAGGUAAAUCCUUUGUGAAAUCAUCGUGCUCAACGCGAUGGCGUGCAGGGGACACUGCCUGACUUGGGACCGGGAGGAGUCGGGGGUAUUCCAGGGGUAGCGGUAAAAUGUUAUAAUCCUUGGAGGACCACCUGUGGCGAAGGCGCCCGACUAGAACGGAUUCGACGGUGAGGGACGAAAGCCAGGGGAGCGAACCGG
Molecule: ribosomal RNA, 254 nt
Filed under: uncultured bacterium
Lineage: Bacteria
Description: partial 16S ribosomal RNA
Rfam family: Archaeal small subunit ribosomal RNA
Source: RNAcentral